UACGAAGGGGGCUAGCGUUGUUCGGAUUUACUGGGCGUAAAGCGCACGUAGGCGGAUCGUUAAGUCGGGGGUGAAAUCCUGGGGCUCAACCCCAGAACUGCCUUCGAUACUGGCGAUCUCGAGUCCGGAAGAGGUGAGUGGAACUCCUAGUGUAGAGGUGGAAUUCGUAGAUAUUAGGAAGAACACCAGUGGCGAAGGCGGCUCACUGGUCCGGUACUGACGCUGAAGUGCGAAAGCGUGGGGAGCAAACAGG
Molecule: ribosomal RNA, 253 nt
Filed under: uncultured bacterium
Lineage: Bacteria
Description: partial 16S ribosomal RNA
Rfam family: Bacterial small subunit ribosomal RNA
Source: RNAcentral